UACGUAGGGUGCGAGCGUUAAUCGGAAUUACUGGGCGUAAAGCGUGCGCAGGCGGUUAUUUAAGUCAGGUGUGAAAGCCCUGGGCUUAACCUAGGAAUUGCGCUUGAGACUGGAUAGCUUGGAGUGCGGCAGAGGGAGGUGGAAUUCCGGGUGUAGUGGUGGAAUGCGUAGAGAUCCGGAGGAACACCAGUGGCGAAGGCGGCUGCCUGGGCCUGGCCUGACGCUGAGGCGCGAAAGCGUGGGGAGCGAUCCGG
RNAcentral lists this ribosomal RNA (254 nucleotides) under uncultured bacterium. RNAcentral describes it as "partial 16S ribosomal RNA". It matches the Rfam family "Bacterial small subunit ribosomal RNA", at positions 524 to 776 of the family's 1533-position model. The record is from RNAcentral.